GAAGCAUCUAUGAUGUACAACUUCCUAUUGUUAUCCUUGCACUUCGAUUACCAGUGAAGAAACUCAUGGGGAAUAUAGACUGAGAUGCCU
Magnolia sinica is the source of this 90-nucleotide small nucleolar RNA. RefSeq annotates it as small nucleolar RNA snoR26. The transcript has a single exon. NCBI's taxonomy places the organism in Eukaryota, Viridiplantae, Streptophyta, Magnoliopsida, Magnoliales, Magnoliaceae. The record is from RefSeq and is a predicted model, not a curated record.